GAUGAAGAACGGAGCGAAAUGCGAUAAGUAAUGCGAAUUGCAGAAUUCAGUGAGUCAUCGAAUCUUUGAACGCACAUUGCGCCCUGUGGUAUUCCGCAGGGCAUGCCUGUUCGAGCGUCAUUUCAACCCUCAAGCUCUGCUUGGUGUUGGGCCCUGCCCGCUGCGGCCGGCCCUAAAGACAGUGGCGGUGCCGCCUGGCCCUGAGCGUAGUACAUCUCUCGCUCCAGUGCCCGGUGGUAGCCUGCCAGAACCCCAACUCUCGUGGUUGACCUCGGAUCAGGUAGGGAUACCCGCUGAACUUAAGCAUAUCAAUAAGCGGAGGA
RNAcentral lists this unclassified non-coding RNA (323 nucleotides) under soil metagenome. RNAcentral describes it as "partial contains 5.8S ribosomal RNA, internal transcribed spacer 2, and large subunit ribosomal RNA". The stretch from base 1 to 120 matches the Rfam family "5.8S ribosomal RNA", at positions 35 to 154 of the family's 154-position model. The record is from RNAcentral.